Molecule: long non-coding RNA, 840 nt
Organism: Columba livia (rock pigeon)
Lineage: Eukaryota; Metazoa; Chordata; Aves; Columbiformes; Columbidae
Exons: 2
Source: RefSeq, a predicted model, not a curated record
UUCACCCACCACCUCUCUGGCCAACCUGGGCCAGGCUCUCACCACCCUCAGGGCCAACAAUUCCUUCCUCAUGUCCAGACUGAAUCUCCCUCCUUUAGUUUAAAACCAUCACCCCUUGUCCUGUCACAACAGGCCCUGCUCAAAAGUCUGUCCCCAUCUUUCUUAUCAUCCCCUUUUAAGCACUGAAAUGCCACAAUAAGGUCUCCCUGGAGCUUCUCUUCUCCAGCUGAACACCCCAACUCUCUCAGCCUGUCCUACCAGCAGAGCUGUUUCAGCCUCGCAUCAUUUCUGUGGUUCCUCUGGCUCGUCUCCAGCAGGUCCAUGCCCUGUUGAAAUUAAAUGUCCUGACCCCAGAUGAUGAUUUGUCAGUUUCCAAGUCCAUCCCUUGUCAGGCAGAGGGACAGCCAGGCCACCUCGUUCCCAUGGGAUCCCUGGGUGUCUGUGUCCCCGCAGUCAGCGGCUCUGUCCCGCUCGUCACGCUGGAGCGGUACCAGGACGGGGGGAUCCGGGUGUCCUGUCGCUCGGCCGGCUGGUACCCGCGGCCCCAGGUGCUGUGGCGAGAUCCCCACGGGCAGCAUCUCCCAUCCCUCUCGGAAAGCGUCACCCAGGACCAGAGCAGCCUCUUUGUGGUGGAAAGCAGCAUCAUCCUCACCAGGGGCACGAAGCAGAACGUCUCCUGCUGGGUCCGACACGUCCUGGAUGGUCAAGAACAGGGAUCAGAGUUUUCAUCUCAGAUCCCUUUUUCCAUAAUGCCCAUCCUUUGAUAUUUGUCCUGGGCAUCGUCUCGGUUGCUGUGGUUGUUCUCCUUAUUUUUGCUGUUUAUCUAUUUAAAAUUAAAGG